GUUCUUUAGCAGCAUUUUCCUCUCAAGCACUGGUGCAACGUGAUGGAAAAUCAGCAGAGAAUGGCUGGGCGUGCACAGGACUGACUGCUGGAGGAAUGGUUGUGUAGGGACUGCAUGCUGCCUUCAGAAUAUGUACAUCUUUUUGUAUACUGCACAAUACAGGGGAAGAGAAUUACUGCUUCCAGAGUUCUGGGUUGGAAAUUUUUGUCUUCUAUCAGUAUUGGAACAUACUGCCAAUGUUUCAAAUGUUCCUUAGAGUUAUGUCACCUGGAAUAUAAUUUUCUUGAUGGAAAAGCUUUUUUUCCAGCUCUUUGGCUAAGAACCUCAAAAUCUCUGGGAUCUCAGGAAAGAUGCUUGUAGCAGAGACACAGUGGGAAGAGAGAAAUUCAUAUCACUGAACUUUGAGCACCUAAGUUUGACCAAUCUAGG
This 429-nucleotide long non-coding RNA is filed under the name Gallus gallus (chicken). Its description in RNAcentral is "lncRNA (ENSGALG00010027542.1)". The record is from RNAcentral. Lineage: Eukaryota; Metazoa; Chordata; Aves; Galliformes; Phasianidae.